GAUGAACGCUGGCGGCGUGCCUAAUACAUGCAAGUAGAACGCUGAAGGAAGGAGCUUGCUCUUUCCGGAUGAGUUGCGAACGGGUGAGUAACGCGUAGGUAACCUGCCUGGUAGCGGGGGAUAACUAUUGGAAACGAUAGCUAAUACCGCAUAACAGUAGAUGUUGCAUGAUAUCUACUUAAAAGGUGCAAUUGCACCACUACCAGAUGGACCUGCGUUGUAUUAGCUAGUUGGUGAGGUAACGGCUCACCAAGGCGACGAUACAUAGCCGACCUGAGAGGGUGAUCGGCCACACUGGGACUGAGACACGGCCCAGACUCCUACGGGAGGCAGCAGUAGGGAAUCUUCGGCAAUAGACGGAAGUCUGACCGAGCAACGCCGCGUGAGUGAAGAAGGUUGUCGGAUCGUAAAGCUCUGUUGUAAGAGAAGAACGAGUGUGAGAGUGGAAAGUUCACACUGUGACGGUAUCUUACCAGAAAGGGACGGCUAACUACGUG
Molecule: ribosomal RNA, 497 nt
Filed under: uncultured bacterium
Lineage: Bacteria
Description: partial 16S ribosomal RNA
Rfam family: Bacterial small subunit ribosomal RNA
Source: RNAcentral